RNAcentral lists this ribosomal RNA (253 nucleotides) under uncultured bacterium. RNAcentral describes it as "partial 16S ribosomal RNA". It matches the Rfam family "Bacterial small subunit ribosomal RNA", at positions 524 to 776 of the family's 1533-position model. The record is from RNAcentral.
UACGGAGGAUCCAAGCGUUAUCCGGAAUCAUUGGGUUUAAAGGGUCCGUAGGCGGUUUGGUAAGUCAGUGGUGAAAGCCCAUCGCUCAACGGUGGAACGGCCAUUGAUACUGCCAGACUUGAAUUAUUAGGAAGUAACUAGAAUAUGUAGCGUAGCGGUGAAAUGCUUAGAGAUUACAUGGAAUACCAAUUGCGAAGGCAGGUUACUACUAAUGGAUUGACGCUGAUGGACGAAAGCGUGGGUAGCGAACAGG